GCUCUGGUGGCCUAGUGGUUAGAGCCACCGCCUUGGAUGCGUUGGGUCGUGGGUUUCGAUCCCCUGUCGAGUCA
Molecule: non-coding RNA, 74 nt
Organism: Potamilus streckersoni
Lineage: Eukaryota; Metazoa; Mollusca; Bivalvia; Unionida; Unionidae
Source: the annotation of a GenBank genome assembly